GCGAGCCUCGGUUUCCACACUUGGAACCGUUUUAGCCAGCCUGGGGCUGCCUUUGGAGUCGCAGCUGCUUGCGCCUUCUCUCCUGAGGGGGCUUUUCCGAGGAAAGUUCUUCAGAGCUCCAUCUCACUUCAGGGAUCCGCUCCCCAUCAGAAGUACCCUGCUUUGGUCUACUUCAGAAGCUGCAAGUAGGCUGUGGUAAAGCAGAAAAUCCAGAAGAAUCCACACUCUGAACCAUAUAUCUUUUGGAUACCCAAUGCCUGGACUCCACUAUAGACCUACCAGACAUCUAACUCUGCUUUCGCAAGACCCACUCAUGACCUUGUCCACCUACUUUCCCAGAAGAGGCUCUUGUGAGUAAACUCUUGAGGCAACUGAAACCAGAUUGACCCAAGGACUGUUUAGCUUCUCUCGCUCCUGGAUGCCUUCCAACAUUGCCCUUUCAUUUUUUGCUAGAUUUAUGCUUCUACAGAAUACACAUUGUUUAGAAAAAUAUACAUAAGUGGUUAACCUAUCAAGAAAAUCAAGAGAAUGAUUAGCACAAAAGUCAAGAUAAUGAUUACUUCUGGGGACGAGGUUGGAGGUUUUAUUUAGGAAAGAAUAUUUGGAAGACUUUUGAGGUACUGGUUAAUGUUCUAUUAAUCUUUGUGAUAAGUAUGUGGGUGUUAAACAUACUAUAUUUUCAACUUUACAUGUAUUUAAAAUACUCCUCCAUACAUAUAAUACACUUUACAAUAAAAAUUUGCAUACCAAGCAGAGCCACCCUGUGAAAUAUUGAAAUCAUAUGUUCAUAUGUACUUUCUGGGCCUUGAACAGAGGGAACUAUGAAGAGGGACAUCAGGUUCUCCCUCUGUCACAGCCCUAAUCAAGAUGCAGCAGGAAUAACAAAAUACCCAACCAGCAGUAUGAUGCUGAGAUUUUUCACACCACUUUAAUAAAUUGGUUUCACAGCACGUGGAAUCCUGUUGUAAUAACCUGGAUUCCAUG
Molecule: long non-coding RNA, 984 nt
Organism: Callorhinus ursinus (northern fur seal)
Lineage: Eukaryota; Metazoa; Chordata; Mammalia; Carnivora; Otariidae
Source: RefSeq, a predicted model, not a curated record